RNAcentral lists this ribosomal RNA (373 nucleotides) under uncultured organism. RNAcentral describes it as "partial 16S ribosomal RNA". It matches the Rfam family "Bacterial small subunit ribosomal RNA", at positions 527 to 896 of the family's 1533-position model. The record is from RNAcentral.
GUAGGUGGCAAGCGUUGUCCGGAAUUAUUGGGCGUAAAGCGCGCGCAGGCGGGUUCUUUAAGUCUGAUGUGAAAGCCCACGGGCUCAACCGUGGAGGGUCAUUGGAAACUGGAGAACUUGAGUACAGAAGAGGAAAGCGGAAUUCCACGUGUAGCGGUGAAAUGCGUAGAGAUGUGGAGGAACACCAGUGGCGAAGGCGGCUUUCUGGUCUGUAACUGACGCUGAGGCGCGAAAGCGUGGGGAGCAAACAGGGUUAGAUACCCUGGUAGUCCACGCCGUAAACGAUGAGUGCUAAGUGUUAGGGGGUUUCCGCCCCUUAGUGCUGCAGCUAACGCAUUAAGCACUCCGCCUGGGGAGUACGGCCGCAAGGCUG